Humulus lupulus (European hop) is the source of this 1539-nucleotide long non-coding RNA. RefSeq lists it as uncharacterized. The transcript is spliced from 3 exons. NCBI's taxonomy places the organism in Eukaryota, Viridiplantae, Streptophyta, Magnoliopsida, Rosales, Cannabaceae. The record is from RefSeq and is a predicted model, not a curated record.
UCAAAAAUAAUAAACCUAAAAGAAAAUGGAAAUUUUAGGGCAUUUUGUGUUAAAUGCCUAAUUUUGCCGAAAUGGGGAAUUUUAUUCCAUGAAUGGACCUUAGGUUAAAUUUUAUUAUGUGAUUAAUUAAAUUAAAUGUGAGAGACAUUUAAUUUAAUUAAUUAAUGUUAAGUUUGGUGAUUAAAACUUAAUAAGAGUGAAAAAGGUGUCAAAAGUCAAUUUGGACUUUUCUUCUUAUAAACCUUUAUUAACCUUUAUAAAAAAUAAAAAAAAAUAAAAUAAAAAUUAAUGGUCACAUAUAUGGAAAAGGGUGGCUGGCCAUGUGCUAUUUUAGAGUGGUGUGAACCCAAUUUUAUAAAAUUCAAAUCCCAUUUAAUUAAGAAGUCAAGUGGGCAAGUGGGUAGAAAAGCACUCAAGUGUUUUGUGAUAUUUUGAAGAGUUGUGUGAGCCAUUCUAACCCCCAAAUCCGACCACUCUCCCUCCCUCAUUCACUCUCAUCUGAUUUUUGAAGACUCUCUCAAGUGUUCUCUCCAUUUUGAACCCCAAGAACACCAAAGAAACUUGGAAGCUAAGUCUUGGUCUAGGAAGGGUUUUCCCUAAGGUAAAGUUUCAUUAAUCUAGACUUUUGUCAAGUUUUAAUCAUAGAGUUUCAAAUAGCUAAUUACCUAUGUUGUUGGAGGAAGUUGGUUAGGGUUUUUGAAGGGUUUUGAAGGAGUCAAAGCUUAUAGGAAGGUCCAAACCUUAAGCAAGAACACCAAAGAGUAUUGGCUAAGCGUAACUGGACUGAACGUUGGAGGGUGAAAACCUGCUGAGCGCUAAGGACUCCAAGUAAGAACAAGGGCAAGGCAGAGCAGUGAGCGCUGGAGUCUUCCUUGCAAAUGUACAUGUGGACCGACCUUUUGGGAAGCCUUUUUAUUUUUGGAAAUGUUGUGUAAUUUUCCUAAACUAGGCUCACUCUAAUCUUUAUAAAACAUGUUUGUAACUAAAUGUUAAGUAUGGCCAUACGACUUUUUAAAAAGUUUUUUUUUCUAUGGGUUUUUGAGGCAUUUUUUUAAAUGAAAACAUUUAUAUUUCCGCAUUAUCGAGUCUUGAAAAUCCGGGUCGUUACAGGGUGGGCCUAGCUCUCUGACCAGGUAGCAAGCCGCUGCUCUAAAGGGCAUGCCACGACCAUCACUGAAAAAUGAGGGAGAAUAUGGCUUUAAGGCUUGGGAACUCAAAUGUUAAGGCUCAGGACAAAUUUUACUACCCAAACUGGUAGAAUCUUAGGUCUCGGAGGCUAGAUUUACAUUCCAAAGUUAUUUAUUGGUUUAGAAUUUGAUGGAUGGUUAUUUAAAAUGCGUUGUGAUUAGGAUUUCAUCAAGGCUCGGGAUAGAGGGCUGUGCUCGUUAUCGCGGUGCUCAAAUAGCUCAGGACACAGAUAAGGAAAUUGUUGCACCUGUAGAGCAGGGCAUAGCUGUUGGGGUUUUAUGCCCUAAUUAAAACCCAAAUUCUUUGUAAUCUCAUUUUAUUAUCAAUAAAAGAAUAGAAAUCAUUUUUUGA